Molecule: ribosomal RNA, 253 nt
Filed under: uncultured bacterium
Lineage: Bacteria
Description: partial 16S ribosomal RNA
Rfam family: Bacterial small subunit ribosomal RNA
Source: RNAcentral
UACGAAGGGUGCAAACGUUGCUCGGAAUUAUUGGGCGUAAAGCGCACGUAGGCGGCUUGGCAAGUCGGAUGUGAAAUCCCUCGGCUCAACCAAGGAAGUGCAUCCGAAACUGCCGAGCUUGAGUACUUAAGAGGAUCGCGGAAUUCCCGGUGUAGUGGUGAAAUGCGUAGAUAUCGGGAGGAACACCAGUGGCGAAGGCGACUACCUGGCCUGUUCUUGACGCUGAGGCGCGAAAGCUAGGGGAGCAAACGGG